This 253-nucleotide ribosomal RNA is filed under the name uncultured bacterium. RNAcentral describes it as "partial 16S ribosomal RNA". It matches the Rfam family "Bacterial small subunit ribosomal RNA", at positions 524 to 776 of the family's 1533-position model. The record is from RNAcentral.
UACGAAGGGGGCUAGCGUUGUUCGGAAUUACUGGGCGUAAAGCGCACGUAGGCGGGUCGUUAAGUCAGGGGUGAAAUCCCGGAGCUCAACUCCGGAACUGCCUUUGAUACUGGCGAUCUUGAGAUCGGAAGAGGUGAGUGGAAUUCCCAGUGUAGAGGUGAAAUUCGUAGAUAUUGGGAAGAACACCAGUGGCGAAGGCGGCUCACUGGUCCGAUACUGACGCUGAGGUGCGAAAGCGUGGGGAGCGAACAGG